AGAAUCAACGCUGGCGGCAUGCCUAACACAUGCAAGUCGAACGAGAAAGUGGAGCAAUCCACGAGUAAAGUGGCGCACGGGUGAGUAACACGUGACUAACCUACCUUUUAGUGGGGGAUAACCUAGGGAAACCUGGGCUAAUACCGCAUAAUACCUACGGGUCAAAGCAGCAAUGCGCUGAAAGAGGGGGUCGCGGCCGAUUAGCUGGUUGGUGGGGUAACGGCCCACCAAGGCGACGAUCGGUAGCUGGUCUGAGAGGAUGAUCAGCCACACUGGGACUGAGACACGGCCCAGACUCCUACGGGAGGCAGC
RNAcentral lists this ribosomal RNA (312 nucleotides) under uncultured prokaryote. Its description in RNAcentral is "bacterial SSU rRNA". It matches the Rfam family "Bacterial small subunit ribosomal RNA", at positions 26 to 352 of the family's 1533-position model. The record is from RNAcentral.